GUUGUAUAGUCAAGUAAUUAAGUGCAUGUGGUGGAUGCCUUGGCAGUCAGAGGCGAUGAAAGACGUGAUAGCCUGCGAAAAGCUCCGGG
Molecule: ribosomal RNA, 89 nt
Filed under: Acinetobacter baumannii
Lineage: Bacteria; Pseudomonadati; Pseudomonadota; Gammaproteobacteria; Moraxellales; Moraxellaceae
Description: partial 23S ribosomal RNA
Rfam family: Bacterial large subunit ribosomal RNA
Source: RNAcentral